This 48-nucleotide microRNA precursor is filed under the name Colobus angolensis palliatus. RNAcentral describes it as "miRNA (ENSCANG00000020784.1)". The record is from RNAcentral. Lineage: Eukaryota; Metazoa; Chordata; Mammalia; Primates; Cercopithecidae.
GGUAGGGGGCGGGCUCCGGCGCUGGGACCCCGCUCGGGUGGUGCCUUG